CUUGUUACAAAACAGAUUCAAUCAAAUUGAAUAACAAUAAUUCACUUGAGCACACUUGCUCCUUAUGCACCAAUGCACCCCUUAAGCUUCUAAGCUUCCUUGAACCUGUUUGUAAACAAACCUUAAUCCACCUGGAUUAAAUUCCCUUUAGACAACACUUAGUCUAAAAAUAUAUAAGAUUACAAUGAUAGAGGUCUAAUGAUCAAAGCAAAUAAACAAUUUAACAAUGCAAGGCUCGACUAAUGAAUGCAAUGAUCAAAUAGAAAUAGUAAAAGAUAUCACCAAUUUAAUGCCCACGCAAAUUGACUGAAUAUAUCAAUGAAUCAGCAGCUCAGAAUUUGCACCGGAAACAGAGUAGAUUUCAAAGUAUAUAAGUGCAAGAUAUUAAAUCGAGUGUUGUGUGUUGUAUUUUUCAUCACUGAUCUCAGCUGCUUUUUAUAGCCCAAACAAAUUUUACCGUUGCUAAUAAGAAAAGUUUACGUUAAACAAAGGCAACGUUCCAAUGAUUUUCAGUUGAAACCAAACGAAACAAAUAAAUGUUUGGAAAAAAUAUUGGACUCUCUCAAAGAUAAUAGAGACCAAGUCAACUAGGACUAAAUCUGUAACAAUUAUGAUUUAUGAUAAAGAUUAAGUCAGCCAAUAACAGUAACUCAAGUGUCGUCACUUAUCAUAACACAUUCCAAUUUCUUAAAGAUAAUCAUG
RNAcentral lists this long non-coding RNA (702 nucleotides) under Panax ginseng (ginseng). RNAcentral's name for it is "long non-coding RNA (PGIN_LNC000202)". The record is from RNAcentral. Lineage: Eukaryota; Viridiplantae; Streptophyta; Magnoliopsida; Apiales; Araliaceae.